UACGUAGGGUGCGAGCGUUGUCCGGAAUUACUGGGCGUAAAGAGCUCGUAGGUGGUUUGUCGCGUUGUUCGUGAAAACCGGGGGCUUAACCCUCGGCGUGCGGGCGAUACGGGCAGACUUGAGUACUGCAGGGGAGACUGGAAUUCCCGGUGUAGCGGUGAAAUGCGCAGAUAUCGGGAGGAACACCGGUGGCGAAGGCGGUUCUCUGGACAGUUCCUGACGCUGAGGCACGAAGGUCAGGGGAGCAAACGGG
This 253-nucleotide ribosomal RNA is filed under the name uncultured bacterium. Its description in RNAcentral is "partial 16S ribosomal RNA". It matches the Rfam family "Bacterial small subunit ribosomal RNA", at positions 524 to 776 of the family's 1533-position model. The record is from RNAcentral.